ACACCAUAUGGUCAGGGAGAAAGGGACCAGAAAAAGAUGAGGAAGGCAUGGCAGCAGAAGCUGAUCAGAAGACAAAAUGGAUUGAAUGGAAACAGAGGGGCCAGGUUUAGCUGAUGUUGGCACCUAACUACUGCUGCCGGACAGUUGACGUUUCAGUUGUGAGAAGAUGGAUGCUUGGGUCUCUCUGUAGAAGCCGAACAAGCUGCGUGCUGGUUUGCACUUGGACUCUUGGAGGCACCGUGCAUGUGCUGAACCCGGCUGUCGCUGAAGCCAACCUUCCCAGUCACCGGGAAAUAUUCUUCUGCUGCGGCAAGGUUUCCCCGGCCGGCGCGUUUCUUCUUUGGGUGUUAUUAGGGGGUUUUCUCCAUGGGUUUUCUCCAUGUGGGAAGAAAAACACGAAAGCAGCCAGCCUUACUAGAAAGACCGCUGCCUUGGAGUAAUUUUAGUCUCUCGGUGUCUCCCGCUGCCUGCCCCGGCUGCAGACAUCCCCGUUCAGCUGGGCUAACAGGUGCUCAGCCCCGUCUGAGCACUGCCGCUCGGCCCCGGCGGACGCGGCGCGGCUCCCGGCGCUCCGCGCCCCCGCCAUGUGUAUUGGCAGCUGUUAAGGGGCAGACACAAGCUCCUUUAACAACUGCACAUAAUUCAGAUGACUGCUCCGGAGAUGUUGCUGUCUAAAUUAAUGAAUUCACUUCUAGGCAAUUGCUAAUUGAACGAAAAUAUAAGAGAGAGUAAAUAGUACGUGAGUAUAUGCGCUCUGACUGCAUCUGUACUUUUUAAUGAGACGAACUUCCUGCAAUUUCAAUGCAACUCGGAAAGAUUUCCUUUAGUGUUAUAAUGCAGUUUGUGAGUGUGGUCGCACUUCAGUAAUGACAGCUCGGACAAAGACAGCACAGGGCAGCAACUGUCAUGUUAGCUGCCACUGCGAAGACAAAUGGGAAAGUAGCUGUAAAGGAUACAGAAAUAUGGAAGCGUUAUUUCCAAAUGCAAAUGUUCUGCUCGAGAUGAGGGAUAGAGGAGGACAGUAUUUCUUCCAAAAUAUGUGCCUGAUUCAACAAAAUGCUUAAAUAUAUGACUGCUGUUGAUUUCAAUGAAGAUGGAAGAGAGCAUCAUCAGCUCAUAUCUGGCCAUAGGCCUACACUGUAUACAAUCUAUUUUGUGUCCUGUAGCACAAUAAAAGUAUUUCUACAACUAAAAAUUAAUUCCAUUGAAAACAGAUGCUUUAGAAUAAAUAGACAUACUUCCUUAGUAGUUGCAACCUCGACAUUUCGCAGUUAACCACUGAAAACUCAAAAAGGCCAAACAAAAGUUGAAAUAUCUUUGCUGAUAAAAAUUCAGCACAGAUGGAAUUUGUGGGAAACUGAGUGACUACAAAGAAUAUGCAUGGGUCUGGUAGGGUGUAUUAAAAAAAACAGACGAUGUAAUGUGAGGUUUCGAUAACAAAGCAAUCAGAAUAAACAGGAAUGAAAUAUACUUUUAGAAUUAUUGCACAUUAUUUUGAGACCAAUGCUAAGAAAGGCAAAAGUCCCUAAUUAAUUCUGGAAUUAUGAUGGAUAUGGUAUAGGGAUGAACUUUGGGGAGCAGUUGGAUUCAUCUACAUGAGCUCCAGGAAGGGAAAUCAUAAAGUGAAGUUCUGUUUAGCAGCACCCGUCUUCAUGUCAUCCCUGGGCCAGGGCGUUUAUUAGGAAUGUGAUUUUAUUUAUCAGCUUUUCUCCCCAUCCUCAAUGGCUGAUAUUGUUGCAGCAAGGAAAUCCUUGUGACUUUCAGAUCAGCAGCAGUAGCAUUGGAGAUACUUAUGGAUGAUGAUGGACUAGAAGCUGUUUCAUGCUUGCUGUGUUCGUUCUUAAUAUUCAGUUUCCUCAUCUAUUUUAUACUAAACUCAAUUGAUUUAUUGGUUAAAUUAUAAGGGUCAAAAGAACUGAAUUGUGUUUUGGAGCCUUUCCACUAGCUGGUAAGUUUUUCAAUAAACUAUUUAUAAUCCCUUUUCCACCUCUGUAAAAUAGAAACUACUUGUCCAAAAAAACCACAUUGUUGCUGAAUUUGAAACUAGAACAUUUUUAUGCAUCUGAAAUAGUUUAUCGCUUUAUCUUCUGGCCGAGUUUAGAUAAAGCUAUGGCUUUUCUUUCAUUCUGAAUGAACGAAUGUUAAUAUUUGCUAGGAGCUGUUCCCACGAUGGACACAACCAAGAGGAAUGCAGAAAAGCCACUUGAAUUUCCUCGCAGUGCUAACACAGAACUUUCCUUAAGUAAAAUUCUGGAGAAGACUAACAAGUGUCCACUCUUGUAAGAGUGGGACACGCUCAGUUCUUCAGAGAGCUCCUAGCUUUGACUGCUCAGAUUUUGGAAUGAUUCAGUGCAGAAAUAACAAGUCUCUUUCCUAAUCGAGACUUAUUUGGAUUUUUCUUUUUUUCCUUUUCCCCACUUGAAAUUCCCUGGGUCUUUUAACUAUUUAACAAUAUGUUACUAACUAUCCAUUAUGGCCUGCUUUAUUUUCUCUUAGAUGAAAGAGCCAUGUAAGAAAGAGAAUUCUCCAAACCCUCAUGACUGAAUUUGAGAGAUAACGUCAAUGGAAUUAACACGUUGUCGUCGUUGAAUGGUCUCCCGUGGCUAUAUAAACAUCAAGGAUCUCCUGAACAAAUAGAAGACAGCCCUUCUGAAGAACAGGAGUUGUAGAGCCCUUCUGCAUCUCCUCUUUAGGGUCCUUCAGGAUGUAUCAAGCUCCAGGAAAGCCGUACACAGAUGGCUCACAGCAGCAGUGCCAAUGCAGGCACCAGCCUUGUGACAGCUGCAGCUUUGGCCAACAGCUAAAAUCGCCAAUGCUAAUGCCAGUGAAGUCCUCCUUCCAACUACAGAUGGCUUCUGCAGCAGGUCCAUCUUUCUCUGGAGAAUAAGGGGCUCUGGGAAUAAUUCUGUGCACUUGGUGCUGAACUGCUCAUCAGCAAAGCUGGCAGGUGUAUGCUGCUAACGACUGGGUUCGGGCCUGGACCCUCGCUCUGUCUACCUGGUGCUGAUGGACAUAGUUUGUUUGGACAAUGUCCAUUACAUGUGGCACUGUGACCAGUGAGAAGCUGCUGAGAAAGAUGAUCUCCGCUUCCCCAGGCACUUCUCUCUCCAUCCGGAUUCUCCAGCUCCUGGGAGCCACGUGAAGAAAGAACCAAUCUGCUUCCAGAGAGUUAAGAUCACCCGUAAAGCUCUGGAGCAGUGUGGUCACGUAAGAGAAGCCUGGACAUUUCACUCUGCUUGAAUCUGUAUCAAAGGUGUGGUGCUGUAAACCACAGUCCACAAUCCAUAAGUAACCAUGGUGACAUUGCGCUGGGAAGCAGUCUGUUACGCCAAUGUACUGUUCACGUGCCAGGAGAACGUUCCCCCAGAACUCAUGUAAUAUUAAUGGCAAUUGUAUGCUUUCAGAGAAUCAUAAGAGACGAACAAGUAUCUCAGAGCCUUCUCUGCUGCUUUUGUCGAGGCAGGAUUGUUCCCUGCAGUACCACAGAUUUGUGCAAAAAUUAUUUAAAAGUCUAAUGCAAAAAGACCUUUGUUACUCUGUGAAUGUGCCCUUGCACAGCUCACUGCUGAUAUGUUUUUUUUCCUGGAUACUCAAAUUGCUUCUCUCUCAUUUUCAGCUCUAAUAUUCAUGUUAAUUAUACCCCUUUGUAGCAUAUUAAUUCCUCUGUCAUCUGUAUGUUUACCCCCUGCAGACAUGUGCAGACUUAUAUGUUCAUUUCUCCCUGAUGCAGAGCUAUCAGUCAACUAAGCUCAUUUUUUCUGAUAUUUGGUCCAUCCAGACUCCCUUCAGUUCAGCAGUAGCUUUAAUAGUAAGGUUAUAAGGAUUAAAUCCAGUUCUACCAGCUUGUUUCACAGCAUACCAACAGAAAAAAAGCUCUGCUGCUUCCCUGCUCAACUAUAUGCUAUUUUCACAUAUGCAUCCUGUAGUUAUAUUUGACUUCUUUUGUUUUUCUGAAAGCAAAAGCAUUGAACUUACUGCUGGAAACUGUGUAAAAUAUCUCUAUAUUGUGGCCUCCUACAUAUUACUGCUUGUUUUAUACAUGGGGACAGCUGAGCAUUGGGGUGUUCAGAAGAAAAGUUUAACUGAUAUUGAACAACUCUCAGGGGAAGAUCUGGGGAGAGAGAAAAGAGCACAAGUUAGCAAUUCCUCUGUGAACACCUCUUUGUCCAUAUGGUGAGCAGAGAGGAGGAGAAGAGGAAUAGCUCCAUCUGGGAGAGGAAAUAUUGAGAGAGAGAGGUCAGAAAGAAAUAAGGGAAGAUGGGACCACAGAUGGGCUUAGAUUUGAGAUUUUUGCUUCCAGAUUUCUGGUGGUCUAAACCAGUCCUUCCAAGAUGCUGUCAGUAACCUGUCCAUGCUGUCCUCUAGAGCACAAGUGCUCUUUAAAGCUGGUAGGCUCCCUCUGGCCCAUGAGCAGUUAUUUAAAAAUGAAGCCAAAUACGAGCAACUCUUCCAAACAAACAGCUGACUGUGGGGAAGAAAGCAGAUUUAAUGAUACUUUCCAGUCCUCCUGAUUGCUUAUGUUGUCUUUGGCUUCAGAUUAUUUUGCACUUGAUACACGAAGACCCGUCCUGGCUCGGUGUAGUGCUGACCGGCACGCGUGCCUGUGCUUUGCCUGGAACAUGGUAGCUUCCUUUGUGUUCCCAGAAGUGACUUUUAUGGUUGUGACUGACAAUCAGAAUCCCCAGGUGACCUUUUUUCUCUCCUUCUUUUCACUCCGUCCAUCUUUGACUUUGCACGAGACAAAGGAGCAUCUCGAUGCAAAAUGUGCAUGAGCAGGAGCAGAGAGAUGGGCAGAAGUUUGGACUCUGUUACAAAGUUUGCUUGUGUUUAUUAACAUAAUUGAUCAUUUUUACUACUUUAAACAUAUUAAACCCCCAAAAUCCUGCCAUGAAAUUUUGCCACGUUUGUCUGGUGGAAGACCUUGAAACCUCGGACCGUUGCAGUAUAUGACUUUAACAGCAAAGGCCAUAUGGGGAGGAGCACUAGGGCAUCCAGUCUAGCCUUUUGCUUGUCACGGGCCACUAAAUUUCCUCGAGAUAUCCAGAUAGGGAGCCAUGACUUCCAGUAGCUUGAAUUGCAGUAAAGCAGUGAAAUCCCCAGGAGAUUUAACUUGUGUGUUACUAGCCAAGCUCAGGAGAGUGUGAGGUGUCAGUAAUGCACGUCUCCCUUUGCGAUGGCACGGGCUCGAUUUAGGUGAGGUAGGCAGCGAACGGGGCAGGCAGAAUCCCUUCCUGUCUCCACACUUGGCAGUAAUUUUUAUCCUCACUCUGCACAGCAUAUAGCAACCAGACAUUGUGUCAGCUCACUGUAGCUGCUGGCAUACUGAUGAAGUAAUUUUGGGAAAAUUGCAUAACACGUUGCAAUUUCACAGCUGUUUCUAGCAUGUGCUAUUGAUCUGUUCCUUUUUAUGAUAUGUGGAGAUUCCUCCUGAGACUCAGACUAAAAUGUAUACCACACUCUAAGUAUGCCAUCCAAAAGAGGGUCCGCUUGGUGACAAAAAUGAGAAAGCCAGUAAGGUUUGUAAGGGUCAGUUUAAUUUUUUAUUGUCUCAGAAAUCCGUAUUUGUUUAAAAUGCUGGACAGGUUAGCUUUAGCUAGCACUGUUUGGGCAGUAAUGUUCCCAGAUGGAUUUGUCCAAGAAUAUUUCUCUGCCCCCUGGAUGUUUGGCCUGAGUUCCUGCAGAAAUGAGGCUUGUGUGAUUCUGCUGCCUGUUUUUCCCUUUUAGUAGUUUUUUUUAAUCCCCUUUCCUGCUUUCAGCCCAAGUUGGCAGCGGUGUAGCAGUCACACAGACAAGUUAGUUCCUAUAGGUUUCUUGAAAAUGUCUGAAGGAGUGGUUGCAGUGUGAGUGAACACAAUAGUAGACACCAGAGAAUCCAAAGAGGACUGCUUCUUUCUAAGUGCCUUAGUCAUGAGAAAAGCAUCAGUCAAAGCUUAGGAGGGCCGCAAGGUGCACACUGCAGCAAGUACGCAGGGGUGAGUCCUUUCUUGCACCCGGUGAUAAUCCGACUUCUUCUCCUCUGUGUUGCAGCGGGAGGAAGCGCCGAAGCCCCGAGCUAGCGAAGCAAGCUGGUAGCAGGGAGGCUGCUGCGAGCUGCCUGGCGGUGAGUCCAGACCUGUGCCGAGGCACGGCAAACUCUCGCUGAACUGGACUCCAGCAGUAGCUCCCCAUAGCAACUUAAACCAGAAACCCCAGUAUUACGGGGUAGUAAAACCAGUGACCCCAUUGCUGAUAACCGUCUAAUCUGUGCUCAGAGGGGACGCUUGCUGUCAGAUGCAAGUUCCAUUUCCUCCUGCGUGCUCCCCAGCGCUCUUAGCAGAAUUUAAGUAUUUCUAGUGAAUUGACAUUGUACUGUUCUCUGUAUCUCCCUUCGUUCAGCAGGCAUAGGUGAGCUUUUAAAGUGCCAGUCAUUUAAAUACGGUUUUCCCAUUGCCAAAGCAAAAGUCGUGUUUUUAAGAAUGAUACUUAAUGUGUGUGUUAGUGGUUGCCCGGGUUAGAGAGGAAAAGAAAUCUAAGUCAUUUGUGCAUCAGCAGAUGAAAUCGAGUAUUUUCAGGGUAAUACAAUCAUCACACACUUCUAUCAUCGUCAGUCCAAGCAGAGCCUGUCUGCGUAGCUGUCCGGAUGGCUCAAAGCCAUGGGUGACCCCUUGCUUUCUCAAGGAAUUGCAGCUGAUGUAUUAAAUCAUUCAAGUGCCUGAUGUUCUUAACAACUGAAAAGCAUUUGUCUGCUCUAGGAGGGCUAAUUUUUAAUUUAUUUUUUUUAGACACAUCUAUCCAAAAUGAUGCUAGGCUUUUAUAUUCACAGCAGGGAACCCUGUGAGCUUUAAAUAUCCCUUUAAUCACCAAGGAUGUAAUAAAAACAAAAAGAGUUCUUUGAGCUGCAGAGUGUUACCUAGGGAAAAAUCUACUCUGGAGCUUACAAAUGUGAGCUGAAGAGACAAACUGGGCAAUAAAAUCCACAGCUACGGACCAAACCGGCUAAAAGUUGGUCUGUAGCUGCCCAUCAGGAGCUGCGACUUGGAGGGGGAAAAAAGCCAUUCAGCACCUCUGGAGCCAUAAGAGCCCGGUCAUAAACACUUCACAAUCUGCUGGGGAGGGGGAGGGAGCCGGGCCUGUGAUCUCGCCCGGGGUUUGUACCCGGCCCGCGACCGCGACGGGGAAUGAGCCUGAGGAAUUUGCUAAUAUGAGAAAAACAGAGGAAAAAUCUAGACAAACCAGAGAUUGCUGGAAAAAGACUAUGCAGUAGCGGUGUUUGAUUAUGUAAAUUCGUGUGCAUUUAUGACUGCCUUGUCCCGCUGCAGGAGCCUCUGAAAGCUGACAGGUGCUUUUUUUUUUUUUCCUCCCCUCUAUUACUGAUUAUAUGCAAGAAAUCUCAUCAGCGUUUUAUUACUGUGGACACCAGUAUCAUUUUGCCACCAGGUGGGUGAGAAAAAGUAUAGCUCAGAGUUUAUCCAAGGACUUUCUGCUUAAAAUGAAUACAUAUUUCCAGCUCUUUGUUACUGGCUUCAGACUUUCCUACAGGUUAUGUGUAUCCCGUCGUAGUGCUCUGUAUCAGCUUUGAGAAACUGUCUUGGAGGAUGCGCUGUGCGAAUCGGUCUUGGCAUUCGUUCUGGUGUCCGGGAGAGCUGC
Molecule: long non-coding RNA, 7626 nt
Organism: Dromaius novaehollandiae (emu)
Lineage: Eukaryota; Metazoa; Chordata; Aves; Casuariiformes; Dromaiidae
Exons: 5
Source: RefSeq, a predicted model, not a curated record